AUACGGAGGAUCCGAGCGUUAUCCGGAUUUAUUGGGUUUAAAGGGAGCGUAGGCGGAUGUUUAAGUCAGUUGUGAAAGUUUAAGGCUCAACCUUGAAAUUGCAGUUGAUACUGGACGUCUUGAGUGCAUUAAAUGUGGGCGGAAUUCGUGGUGUAGCGGUGAAAUGCUUAGAUAUCACGAAGAACUCCAAUUGCGAAGGCAGCUCACAGGACUGUAACUGACGCUGAUGCUCGAAAGUGUGGGUAUC
This 247-nucleotide ribosomal RNA is filed under the name uncultured bacterium. RNAcentral's name for it is "partial 16S ribosomal RNA". It matches the Rfam family "Bacterial small subunit ribosomal RNA", at positions 523 to 769 of the family's 1533-position model. The record is from RNAcentral.